This 300-nucleotide ribosomal RNA is filed under the name Triticum aestivum (bread wheat). RNAcentral's name for it is "partial small subunit ribosomal RNA". The record is from RNAcentral. Lineage: Eukaryota; Viridiplantae; Streptophyta; Magnoliopsida; Poales; Poaceae.
AUGCGCCCAUGCCUGUGCCGGCAAGCCGCCAGUGUCCGGGCCAACAAGCUUGAGCCCAAGGAGCGCUACGACGGGAUGAUGAUGGAGGUGUAUGAGGCGGAACAAGUGCCGGCACCGAUCAUGGAGCAUCUCUCCGUUUUUCGAUGGUUGAGGGGCAAGGGAGCUUUCUCGGUGUUGGGUGCUUUGUUUGCCGGUGGUGGUGGCAAGAAAAUUUUCAAGAAGAAUGCAGAGGGCUCCCAUGUCUCUAAGCGCUCGAGGAGCAAACGUACUGCUCUCGUUGAGAAAAAGAACAAGCGCUAA